GUUUAAAAUCACAGCAGAGACUCAAUAGCAACAGAGAAAUACAAAUUUUAACCCGCCGGUCUCAUCGAGUCUGGACCUAGAGGUUUCUGCCCGCGAGUUGGCAUCAAGGCGAGGCCAAGUGACGCGAGGGUUACGUCAGAUCUCAGAAUGCUAUGAUUUCAUGCACGAUCUGAGAGCUAUAAGCAAUGGAAACUGCCUCGAUGGACUUGAACUCUCUUCUUACCCAAGAACUGCAACAUUAACAUAUAAUAAUUCAAGCUGCAUCUCUAUAACAACUGAGUGUACCAACUGCACAGAUGUAGAGAUUGGAGAUACUACAGUACUGCUCCUCCUCUGGUGCUGUGGCGCUGUGGAUCAAACAUCAGUAGGUCCUUGCACAA
This is a long non-coding RNA of Erinaceus europaeus (western European hedgehog), 380 nucleotides long. RefSeq lists it as uncharacterized. The record is from RefSeq and is a predicted model, not a curated record. NCBI's taxonomy places the organism in Eukaryota, Metazoa, Chordata, Mammalia, Eulipotyphla, Erinaceidae. The transcript has 3 exons.